AUACGGCUGACGAGUCCCAGGUGGGACGAAACGCAUGUCCUGGAU
Molecule: non-coding RNA, 45 nt
Filed under: Schistosoma mattheei
Lineage: Eukaryota; Metazoa; Platyhelminthes; Trematoda; Strigeidida; Schistosomatidae
Source: RNAcentral